UGGGACAGGGAGUGGAGAGUGACAGCCCAAGGACCAGGAUGGAGGUGUGGGAUGGGGAGUGGAGAGUGACAGCCCAAUGUCCAGGUUGGAGGUGUGGGGACAGGGAGUGGAGACUGACAGCCCCAGGUCCAGGAUGGAGGUGUGGGGAAAGGGAGUGGAGAGUGACAGCCCGAGGUCCAGGAUGGAGGUGUGUGGGACAGGGAGUGGAGAGUGACAGCCCGAGGUCCAGGAUGGAGGUGUUUGAGAGUGAGUGGAGAGUGACAGCCCGAGGUCCAGGAUGGAGGUGUGGGGGAGGGAGUGGAGAGUGACAGCCCCAGGUCCUGGAUGGAGGUGAGGGAGAGGGAGUGGAGA
This 351-nucleotide long non-coding RNA is filed under the name Sus scrofa (pig). RNAcentral's name for it is "lncRNA (ENSSSCG00025067855.1)". The record is from RNAcentral. Lineage: Eukaryota; Metazoa; Chordata; Mammalia; Artiodactyla; Suidae.